Molecule: ribosomal RNA, 253 nt
Filed under: uncultured bacterium
Lineage: Bacteria
Description: partial 16S ribosomal RNA
Rfam family: Bacterial small subunit ribosomal RNA
Source: RNAcentral
UACGGAGGAUCCAAGCGUUAUCCGGAUUUAUUGGGUUUAAAGGGUGCGUAGGCGGCUUUUUAAGUCAGGGGUGAAAGACGGUAGCUUAACUAUCGCAGUGCCUUUGAUACUGAUAGGCUUGAAUAUACUUGAGGUAGGCGGAAUGUGACAAGUAGCGGUGAAAUGCAUAGAUAUGUCACAGAACACCAAUUGCGAAGGCAGCUUACUAAAGUAUGAUUGACGCUGAGGCACGAAAGCGUGGGGAUCAAACAGG